This 376-nucleotide long non-coding RNA is filed under the name Oryza brachyantha (malo sina). RNAcentral's name for it is "long non-coding RNA (OBRA_LNC001550)". The record is from RNAcentral. Lineage: Eukaryota; Viridiplantae; Streptophyta; Magnoliopsida; Poales; Poaceae.
CUUCUCCCCCUGCGCCGCGGCCGGCGACGACAGCAGCGCCAGCGCCAGCGCCACGGCGAAGGAGAGGCGCAGCGACGCCGACGCCCGCGCGCCUGGCGUCGGUGACGCCACCAUCGCUCGUCGGCAAGCAACGAACGCGACGGCGAAGUGAAGUGGACGGACGCAGAGAAGAAGAGCAAGAAAAAGGCGUCGUCCCUCGUCUUGUGGUUGGAUGUAGUACGCGUGGAGACAGUUAAUGUGGUCCGCAAUUAUGGGCUGUCGUUUUGCACCAUGGAGUCAUGGCAUUGUUUUGUUGGUGCCCUUAAAAUCGUGAGCCACGGUAACCAUGAUGUAUAAAAAAGUUAAUUUUAAGAUAAUGAUUAUACUUAUAAAAUAA